Molecule: ribosomal RNA, 472 nt
Filed under: uncultured organism
Description: partial 16S ribosomal RNA
Rfam family: Bacterial small subunit ribosomal RNA
Source: RNAcentral
CACUCCUACGGGAGGCAGCAGUGGGGAAUUUUGGACAAUGGGCGAAAGCCUGAUCCAGCAAUGCCGCGUGCAGGAUGAAGGCCUUCGGGUUGUAAACUGCUUUUGUACGGAACGGAAAAGCUCCUUCUAAUACAGGGGGCCCAUGACGGUACCGUAAGAAUAAGCACCGGCUAACUACGUGCCAGCAGCCGCGGUAAUACGUAGGGUGCGAGCGUUAAUCGGAAUUACUGGGCGUAAAGCGUGCGCAGGCGGUUAUGUAAGACAGAUGUGAAAUCCCCGGGCUCAACCUGGGAACUGCAUUUGUGACUGCAUGGCUAGAGUACGGUAGAGGGGGAUGGAAUUCCGCGUGUAGCAGUGAAAUGCGUAGAUAUGCGGAGGAACACCGAUGGCGAAGGCAAUCCCCUGGACCUGUACUGACGCUCAUGCACGAAAGCGUGGGGAGCAAACAGGAUUAGAAACCCUAGUAGUCCCA